UGUAGAGAAACUGUUGCUGAUGUAGCAUAUAUGGUUACAAGUUAGUUUUCAGUUUUCCCUUCUAGGAUGCUAGUUUUGGCCCUUGUAGGAGGGAGUGGUUCAGGAAAAAGCACAACUAUAUAUCAUAAACUGAGUGUUUCUAUGAACUACUUCUGGUAAAAUUCUAUUAGAUAGAAGUGAUAUAAAGGAAUUUGAUCCAAAAUGCAUGGCUUAGACAUCAAAUUGGACUAGUUAAUCGUGCUUUGGACCUUUCAGAUGCUCACUCUUUCAUCAACAAUCUUCCUGAUGGAUUAGAUUUCCAGGUAAUAAACCUUCCCGAUGCUCACUCUUUCAUCAACAAUCUUCCUGACCAAACACUAUAAUUUCCAUGCAAAUCUUCACUCCAAAUUACCCUAUCAUCUUUGUCAACCAAUAGGAGGGGAACCGCAAGUAUAGCUGCAGCCACGCCAUUUGAAAACAGAUGCUGGAUUUUUGCUUCAUCCCACCUCCUUUUUCCUUGCACCAUCAAGUCACUUACCCUCAAAUUACACUUCUUGCCUUUGAGGGGACUGCACCCCAUUUGAUUGACUCAUCUGUAACCAAGGAUCAUGCAUCACUCACACUCUUGUACCAUCACCAAUACACCAUCUUGUUUUCAAUAACCAAGGUUGGUGAGGGAUACAAUUAGCAGGGGGACAAAAGCAAAGGAUUGCAAUAAGAUAUCAUGCUAUAGUUAAAAAUCCAUCAGUCCUUUUAUUAGACGAAGCACUUAGUGCUUUGAAUGCAGAGUUUGAGAAAAGUAUAUAAGAACCUCUUGUUAUAGUGUCAUGAUUGGUAGAACAACUUCGAUAGCUAUUGUUGAAGGAGGGAGCAUUGUGGAAACUGGAAUUCGUGAUGAGCUCAUUUCCAACUCAAACAGUGUAUUAUGCAUCUCUUUCAAGGCCAACCUUUUCCAGGAAACGAAGUACUAUAGUACAAUUCAGAACAAGAUCACAAAAUGUGGCAUGAUCUUGGCCCAGUAAUGAAAAGCAUCAAAAGAGCACUCAAAUCACAGAACAUCAGAGGCAUCAAAAGUGACACCCCAUUAGCCAUGGAUGUCUUACAAUUAACAUUACCAACGUCAAGCGGGACAUUCCAAUCCAACAAAAGAGACGGUGUGAUAGCACCAAUGCUCAAAUUCUUUGACAUGACCAACUCAUUUUUCUCUAUUGAUGCAUACCCAUAUUUCCCAUGGUCACAGGACCCUCAACAGUAUUCCCCUAGAUUUUACUCUAUUUAGGAGAGACUUUACCACAAGAGACCUUGGUAGGCUUAAUCUACAUAAACUUGUUAGACGAAAUGCUUGAUUCCCUCAUCUUUGCCAUGUCAAAACUCGGAUACUCCAAGACAUAAAAGAACCUGACGUGAACGUUUACAACGCAGCCACAAACAAUCCCAAUCUCAUCCAAAGAAUGACAACAAAACCACCAAUCGAAACACCAAUGUGCCCUGGUGUCCCCAUACCCACCUUCAUCUUCUCACCUUUCAACAAAAACCAAAAACCAGGUCCCGGGACACAGCAACACUGGGGUUAUUACUACACAGACAGAACCCCAGUUUAUGGUUUAGACCUUAACAGGAAGAAAGAAAAAACACAUCACAGACUAUGCACCAUUACCAGCUCCAAAGAACAAUGUGCCAUACAAGGGUAAGGUAUGGUGUAUGGUUGCAGAAGGAGUAAAUGAAGUGGAAUUGGCAGCAGCUUUGUCAUAUGCUUGCAAUGUAGGAAACAUGAUAUGUGAUACACUUACACUUUCACCUGGAAUUUGAAUGCUAUGAACCAGUUUCAGUGCCAGAUUAUUCAAGUUAAGUUUUUGGCAGCUAUUGGGCUAAGUUUCAAAGUAACAGAGCUACUUGCUACUACACAAACAACCAAAGACCCUAGUAAGUCUCUAAUUUCAUAUCAAAUACACAAUUUCACGGUUAUGACCAAGUAUUUGGGUUCGAGUACUUAAUGAGUUCCACCAAGAACAAAUUCGGGAGAACCCAAGUUCAAUUCUUGGUGGAACUUUACUAACCUCUCAAGAGACAGUUAUCAGAAAUCAAAGCAAUGGUGAUUAAGCUUCUGUAUGUAAUGAUCUUUGGAUUUCAAGAAAUAUACCAAUUUGCUUUGAAA
Molecule: long non-coding RNA, 2134 nt
Organism: Medicago truncatula (barrel medic)
Lineage: Eukaryota; Viridiplantae; Streptophyta; Magnoliopsida; Fabales; Fabaceae
Exons: 3
Source: RefSeq, a predicted model, not a curated record